UGGGGAAUAUUGGACAAUGGGCGCAAGCCUGACCCAGCAACGCCGCGUGAAGGAUGAAAUCUUUCGGGAUGUAAACUUCGGAAGAAUAGGAAGAAUAAAAUGACGGUACUAUUUUUAAGGUCCGGCUAACUACGUGCCAGCAGCCGCGGUAAUACGUAGGGACCAAGCGUUGUUCGGAUUUACUGGGCGUAAAGGGCGCGUAGGCGGCGUAAUAAGUCACUUGUGAAAUCUCCGGGCUUAACUCGGAGCGGCCUAGUGAUACUGUUAGGCUAGAGUGCAGAAAGGGCAAUCGGAAUUCUUGGUGUAGCGGUGAAAUGCGUAGAUAUCAAGAGGAACACCUGAGGCGAAGGCGGGUUGCUAGGCUGACACUGACGCUGAGGCGCGAAAGCUAGGGUAGCAAACGGGAUUAGAUACCCGCGUAGUCCCUGAGCGGGCUGGCAAGGCGCAU
This 448-nucleotide ribosomal RNA is filed under the name uncultured bacterium. RNAcentral describes it as "bacterial SSU rRNA". It matches the Rfam family "Bacterial small subunit ribosomal RNA", at positions 355 to 825 of the family's 1533-position model. The record is from RNAcentral.